RNAcentral lists this transfer RNA (72 nucleotides) under Treubaria triappendiculata. RNAcentral's name for it is "tRNA-Gly". It matches the Rfam family "tRNA". From Rfam's summary of the family: Transfer RNA (tRNA) molecules are approximately 80 nucleotides in length. Lineage: Eukaryota; Viridiplantae; Chlorophyta; Chlorophyceae; Treubariaceae. The record is from RNAcentral.
GCGGGUAUAGUUCAGUGGUAGAACACCUCCUUGCCAAGGAGGUUGUCGCGCGUUCGAAUAGCGUUACCCGCU